This is a non-coding RNA of Heterocephalus glaber (naked mole-rat), 5906 nucleotides long. NCBI's taxonomy places the organism in Eukaryota, Metazoa, Chordata, Mammalia, Rodentia, Bathyergidae. The record is from RefSeq and is a predicted model, not a curated record.
GGGAAGGCCCUGGGUUCAAUCCCCAGUAUUUAAAAAAUUGCAUUAGGCCCGCAGAUUUAUUUUUAUAUUUAUUUUUAUAUUCUAAUGUUCUAUACGUUAUGAUCUUUUUGUUUGUUUUUGUUUGUUUUGUUUUAGAACAGGUUCUCGCUCUGUACUCUAGGCUGCCCUGAACUCACUCUGUAGCCCAAGCUAACCUUAAACUCUCGGUUGAUCCUCCUGCCUCAUCCUCCCAGAUGCUGGCAUUACAGUUGUGUGCCACCACACCCAGCUCCUUUUGUGAUCCUAAUGAAUGCCUUUUAAACUAUAAAUUUGAUUUGUGGAAAUUUAUUUAAAUGUUUACUUUUAAUGAAAUUGGUUUCAAACUUACACAAAAUCAUAAAUUAUUUUGAAGCUUUUUUUUCUAGUUUAUCUAAAUGUUGUGGAUAAUAAAUAGUACCAGUCUUAAGGUUGAAGUCUAAGAUAGAAUAUGUAAAACCAUUCAAAGCAAUGCCUGGACAAUAAAAACACAAAAAGUACCUUAAAAAUGGUGAUUGUAGCCAACUGUUACAUAUCUACGUACAUACAUGUACAUAUGUAUGUGUUUUUUCAUUCCUCUGCAGCAAUGUACUUAGAAUAGGAAUGACAGUAAAUCAUCUAGUGUUCCAAUUUAUUUUCUCUGAAAUUUCUUCUAGGCUGAUUUAUCUAUACAGUCUUAAAGCUCUUUUUCAUCUUAAUUUCUGCGUGAGUUCUCUAAAAUGCCACUAAAACACCUCUUUAACAGUGGUGUACUUUUUUGGGCCAGGGAUUUAGCUCAGUGGUGCUGUCACAAGUGCAAGGUCCUGAGUUCGAUACCCGGUACCAAAAAAAACAGUUGUAUACUUUUUUGGUUUGCUAAUUUCUGCUUUAUUCAUUUGUGCUUUCUUUUUUCCUCAGGGUCCUUUUUGCAUGUUACCUGAUUUUUUCCUUUUCAAACCAUAUAAAGAUUUGAGGUUACGAAUUUAACUGAUUUCAGUUUCAACCUCAAAGCCUGGAAGAUUGAUGAGUUCUUUGUAAUCAAACUCUAGAAGAUGAGGAUGCUGUUCUCAAGAGCUGCAUGCUUGGAUGAGACCCUUUCUCCGGAGGGAAUUUCUGCUGGAGACUCUCAUCUCCUCAGCACUUUCUUCGUGCCCACUUCCUGCACAGACGUGGUCAUUUUUCCCUCUGGUAACACUGGCCGUCUGGAAUAUGUUUCUCCUGUAAGAGAAAACACACAGUAUUUUACUUUCUGUGUCUGAUUUACUUCACUUAACAAUACAGUCUCAAGUUCCUGGAAUUCCACUGAAAUCCUUCAGCCAGAACUGAUGAGACCAAGAAUGGACUGGACUGACUGUAGCCGGCAUCUAAGAGACUGGAUCAGCUAGGUUGGUGGUGGGAACCUAAGCUGAAGAGUCACAGGAGCUGUGUUCAGAGAACAAGUGAAGGUGGUAUACUACCAGAGUCCAAAGAAGACACCUCGGUAUUCUCACUCAGGUUCUGGCAAGGCCAGCUGCACCUUAUUUCCUGUUCUUGAAUGUCCAAGAGUUCUUUUGUACCUCUCCAACAAUUUCCCUUUCUGGGCUGGGGGUGGAGUGGAGGGGAUGUAGAUGUUCGUAGCAUGUGUGAAGCCCUGGGUUCAAUCCCCAGCACACGUGUGCGCUCAUACAUGCACACAAGCCUGAGCUAGUCUUGUGAGAGAUUGUUGCUUACUUACUAAGCCACUUUUAAGUUUCUAGUGCAGUUUAGCUGAAGGUUCCCUUGAUCUCUCCACUUUGCUUUGAAUCCUAUCUCCAGUUGCCUUUUCAAAGUAGCACGUCUUCAGUCAUCAUUUCCUCCUCACAUCAUUUCUCUCUUUUACUUCUAGAUCACUCCAUAAGCAUGGAAAGUCCUCCCAUCUGGAAAACAAGGGCCGAGACUGGCAACACAGGCCUGUAAGCCCAGCACUUGGGAGGCAGAGGUUGAAAAACCAUGAGUUUGAGGCUAGCCUGGGCUGCCUAGCAAGUUCCUGUCUUACAAAACAAAACAAGUAAAAACAAAUGUCCUUUGACCCACAUUUCAGCUUAACUUUCACCUCAUUUCUUAGUUUACUGUUCAAUUCAUUCAGAGUGACUUUUGUCUCUGCCACUUUACCACUGUUAGCUCUGAUCAAGGUCAACAUGUCUGUACAGCAAAAUCAAAAAAACUCUUAACAGACUUUGAACCAGUGGUCUGUGAGCUCUGGAGAUAUCUCUGAAGUCAUCAGUGCUAGGUUGAGAACUGUAUGGCCUUCACACAAAAAGCCCCAGUGUGAAUAUUUAUUUGUAAGCAAACAACAGUAUUUUUAUGGAACAUAUGUAAGCAUACAUAUGACAAUAUAUACUGAACAAUAAAGAAAAUUUAUAUACAUUUAUAUAUAUAUAUGUAUAUAUAAAUGGUUCUCUUCACAAUUCUGUGUGCUUCACCAUACCAAGAAAAGCCAUCAAUAUUUUUUAUAUACACACAUUGGUACAAAUACACACACACACACAUAUAUAUACACUAAAAACAAAAAAAUACCUCACUAUAUUUCAACCCUUCAAGCAACACUGAACUCACCUUUCUUCUUUAGGGAGUAUACAGAAUAGUUAAGAGCCUGGACUUCCAAGCUGACUACUUUCACCCAAGUUAUUUGGACUCACUUCACCUUGGGUUUCUCAGACACCCUCCACAUAUUGUGAGAAUGAAAUGGGGAAAUGAGAAUCACUAUGGAAACCCUCUCUUACUGGUUUCCAUUGUAAGACUAUCUUGUGGUUUCCCUCCUGCCUCCCUAGUUAUAUUCUGUACCUUUAACAUUUUACCUUCCCUUUCCCAACCUCCAAAUGCUGGAAUGCCCAGGACUUUGUUCCAGUCCCUUGAUAUCCAACUUCACUGCUUCCUUAGAUAAUCACAAUCUGGUCUCAGUGCUUUAAGUGGCAUUUAUGUGUGGAUGGUUUCCAAAUUUCUCUCCAGUUUGGACCUCUUAAUUGACCACCAGAUACAUGUAUCCAAGUGCCAACUUUAUAGUUUCAGCUGAAUGUCUAACUAAGUCACCUGCCUCAAUUUCUCCCUGUAGGAAACCAGUUUCUUCUCAUUAUUCUCUACCUCAGGUACACAAGCCAAAAUUACCCUUUAUCUCAGUCCCUAAAACCAAAAUAUUCUAUUAUAGAUAUUGUGAGUGCUCUGUCCAAACAUACCUAAACUCUUCCAUGCUGCUUCCAUUUAUACUACAGCCACCAAGUCGAAGCCACUCUCUUGCUCCUGUUUUCUACUACUUAAUCUUGCUUCCCCUGACUCAUCUCCACAGCCUACCCAGUUUUAGAUAGUAAAGCAGGUCACAUCACUCCCCUGCUUAAAAUCCCUUGGUGGUUUUCCAUUGAUCUUGGAAUGAUAUCCAAACCCUUUCUUUACCUUCUACAAGGCCUUGCAAGAUCUGCCCCCUGGGUUCCCUUCCAAACACUUCCCUUCCACAUCACUCUUCGUCUGGGCCAGCCACACUAGCUGCCUUUGUCCUGAACCCCGUCCCACCUAAGGAUCUGGUCUGUACACUCACCAGCCACUGAUGGCUACUAUAAAAACACCACUCUGAGCUGGGUGUGGUGGCGCACUCCUGAAACCUGUAAACCCAGCACUCAGGAAGCUGAGGCAGGAGGAUGGUCAUGAGUUUGAGGCCAACCUGGGUAGCAUAGUGAGUUAAAGGCCAGCCUGAACUACAUAGCGAGACCCUGUCUCAAAAAACAAAAGUUCAAGUGGCUAAUUCUAGGAAGGUGAUUGAAGAGGUAGAUACAAACAGGAAUCUGGACUAUUUUAAAGUUAAAAACAGCCAUGGGCAUCUAUUACUGUCUUUUUACAGAUGAGGAUUCAGAAGCCUCAUGGUCAAGCAGCUGCCCACAGUCACAUGGCCAGCGAAAGGCAGAGUUGGGCUUCUAAAUCCAGACAGUCUGACUCCAGAGCCUGCUCAUUUUGGCUUCUACACUACAGGAUCGAACUUGGGACCUUGAGCUUGAGAGGCUGGCAUCGGAACCACUGAGCUAAAUCCCCGGCCCUUGUUAAAAUCUUGUAUGAUCACUCUAGUAUGUUAAAUUUUGACACUGUUGACAAAUUGUUGAUAUCAGUAAUCUCUGUAUGGGUUGAAUUGUUUUUGGGUUUUUUGGGGGGGUUGUUUUGUUUUCAUGAGACAGGACCUUGCUUUAUAGUUCAGGAUGGCCUUGAACUCAUUAUGUAGCCCAGGCUGGCCUUGAACAUGAUGAUCAUCCUGCCUCAGCCUCUCUCAGCUGUACACCUGGCUAUACAGGUUAAAUUGUGUCCUCCCAAAAAAGAAGCAGCAAUAACCCCCAGUACCUCAGAACUUCACUUUGUUUGGAAAUAGGGUCUUUACAGAGGUAAUCAAGUUAAAAUGAGAUCAUCAAGGGCAGACACAAAAGAGAGUUAAAUUAUAGAAAAAGAAAACUUGGUGUGGUGGCGCACGCAUAUAACCCCUGGUGAGUAGGAAGCCCCUAAGGAGGAAGAGGGAGCAGGGCCACGUUGCCACCCCGAUAGUCUCCAGACUAUAAGAGAGCACACUUCCACCACUUUAAGCUGCCCAAUCUGUGAUAUAUGCAGCCCUAGGAAACUAAUAAACUUUCCCUCCUGAACAGAUUGCUCCUGUAGCAUUCAGGGGACACAACACUGCCAUGGUUUCCUGAGUCACUGUGCUUUGCCUGUCCCUGAAAUGCUCCAGAUAAGCUCAUGGAUGUCACUGCCAUCUAUGAUGACUCCCAAAUCCGCCUUUCACCUAGUUCUCUUCUGUAUCAGACCGACCCUUUCAUCUAAACAGACAACCCCAAAGACAAGUCCAAAAUUCAGCUCAUCACUUUCUACCCCAAAAUCUGUUCCUCAGUGAAAACCUCCCCUGGCCACCAACAUGCUCAAGGCUGGGCCCUAAAAAUUAGACGUCACUUCUGAGUCUCAGCCCCUCAGAACCGGUCAGUUCAACACAUGCUAACAUAUUCUCAUUGCUUGAACCUGUCCACAUCUGUGUUAAUUACCUCACCACAUUACUAUCACUACUUGUUUGAUUACUGUAACAUUCUGACUGUUCCUUUGGCCUGCAGAAAAAUAAAGGCCCAGGGACUGAAGCUAGAGAAUGUACAGAGAGAGAGGGAAAAUAAGAAAGGAGAAAAAAAAAAAAAAUGAGUGCAUCCACCGGGAUUCAACCAUGAAAACAAAGAAUUCCAUGUGAAACAAUUUAGUGCAGAGAAUAAAAUACACAAGUGACAAACAGCUAAGACCAAGGGAUAGUCAGUCAAUAAGGAAAUCAGCAACAGGAAGGCACUGGCACACUUAAGCCGUUAAAGACCAAAAGAAAAAGAAUAUAAACUGGGCAUGGUGGCACGAACCUGUAAUCCCAGCACUUGGGAGGCUGAGGAAGGAGAACUACAAGUUUGAGGCCAGCCUGGGCUACAUAGCAAGUUCAGGGCAAGCCUGAAAUACAAAAGGAGACCCUGUCUCAAAAAAACAAAAACCAAAAAAAGGAGAAGAAUAUAGAGAAGACCCCAAAGCCAAGGAAUCGGAGAGAAUAAGGGUGGAGAAUGAAAUACUUGAAACACAACCUGCAACCAUCAGUCCCACAGCCACACAGAAUGGGGUGGGUGGGUGGGGGGAACAAGUUUGGGAGCACAGAGCUCAAGAAUGACACAUUUCAAGAAUUUCUGUAAAAGUCUGAGUAUUAGAAUCAGAAUAGAUGCUGGGGAUGUAGCUUAUGUAACUUAGUAGUACAACACCUGCCUAGCACACACAAGGCCCUUGGUUGAUUCCUCAGCCCUGCAGGGGGUGGGGUAGAGUGAAACCAGAAUAAAACUAGAUCAAACCACAGAACCAGAGACUGAAGGACCAGGCAGUCUAUAGUGUCAAGUGUAAAAGUUGAGAAGAAAAAAAAA